GAUGAACGCUGGCGGCGUGCCUAAUACAUGCAAGUCGAGCGAACAGACGAGGGGCUUGCUCCUUUGAUGUUAGCCGCGGACGGGUGAGUAACACGUGGAUAACCUACCUAUAUGACUGGGAUAACUUCGGGAAACCGGCUCUAAUCCAGGAUAACACGUUGAACCGCAUGGUUCAUCAGUGAAAUACGGUUUUGCUGUAUCUUAUAGAGGGAUCGGCGUCGCAUUGUAUGGUUGGUAAGGUAACUGCUUACCAAGGCAACGAUGCGUAGCCGACCUCACAGGGUGCUCGGCCACUCGGGCACCGGGCCACGUUCCAGACGCCUACGGGAGGCACCAGAAGGGCCUCUUCCGCAAUAGGCGACAGCCUGACGGAGCACCGCCGCGUGAGUGAAGCAGGUCUUCCGAUCUUAAAGCUCUGUUAUUGGGGAAGAACAACUGUGUAAGUACCUAUGCACGUAUUGACGGUACCUAAUCAGAAAGCUACGGCUAACUCCGUG
Molecule: ribosomal RNA, 497 nt
Filed under: uncultured bacterium
Lineage: Bacteria
Description: partial 16S ribosomal RNA
Rfam family: Bacterial small subunit ribosomal RNA
Source: RNAcentral